CGGGUCGUUGUUUGACAUGGAAUCGACGGCGGCGAUGCGUCGUCGCGGCACCAACCAACGGACGCGAGCUUUGAACAAGAUCGCAAGCGCGGGCCGUUUGACGAGACAGUCGCCGCAGCGGAUACAACACCUCGGUAAGAGUGCCUGGGCGGGCGGCCAGUUACCACAGAAGGGAUGCUGCGCAAGAGCAAGGGCCUGCUAAAAAACAUAGACAGCUGCUCAAGAGACAAGUGGUGGACAGCUUGCUGUGAAAGAUGGAAGCAUUCUUCCUGCAAGUCUGGACAAGGCCAUAUUAAAUGGCUUCAUCUGUCACAAAUCGCUGGCCACGAAUGUAAAGAACACCUUGGCCCCACUUCUGUCGAGGGAACCGAAGUUGCCUGAACAGAUGAAGAGCGGUGGUGCUACCAAUAGUGAACGACUGUGAUUUUAUAAUGUGCAAGUGUACGAACAAUCGCGUUACGCUAAUUUAACAUUAAUUGCAUUCACUAGUCAAGUGUUGCAAUAUUGUAAUGUGUAUGUUUAUGUGCAGUUGCAUUAAGUGAGCGCUCAAUCAAGCUUCAAGUUUGCAAUCCCAUAUUUUGGUGGUAUUCAUAGGGCGCACAUUCCACUUUAAAUUGUGAUCUGCUCCUUUACUGAGGGUGCAUGCAGGUCCUUGAAACGAUUGAAAACCCUUGAAAAAGUAAAAGUACAU
Molecule: long non-coding RNA, 691 nt
Organism: Rhipicephalus sanguineus (brown dog tick)
Lineage: Eukaryota; Metazoa; Arthropoda; Arachnida; Ixodida; Ixodidae
Exons: 4
Source: RefSeq, a predicted model, not a curated record